RNAcentral lists this ribosomal RNA (174 nucleotides) under Triticum aestivum (bread wheat). RNAcentral's name for it is "partial small subunit ribosomal RNA". Lineage: Eukaryota; Viridiplantae; Streptophyta; Magnoliopsida; Poales; Poaceae. The record is from RNAcentral.
AUGGUCCUCGUCAAAGCGGUCCUCACGGCCAUCGCAAUUUAUCACCUCACGCCUCUAGACAUCCCCAUGGAGGUGCUAAAAGCUAUUGACAGCCUUCGGCGUGCAUACCUUUGGGCGGGUACAGACAAAGUUUGAGGUGGAAAAUGCAAGAUUAAUUGGGAUCUCGUCUGCAAG